This 523-nucleotide ribosomal RNA is filed under the name Lachnospiraceae bacterium. RNAcentral's name for it is "bacterial SSU rRNA". It matches the Rfam family "Bacterial small subunit ribosomal RNA", at positions 102 to 643 of the family's 1533-position model. The record is from RNAcentral. Lineage: Bacteria; Bacillati; Bacillota; Clostridia; Lachnospirales; Lachnospiraceae.
ACGGGUGAGUAACGCGUGGGUAACCUGCCUUGUACUGGGGGACAACAGUUGGAAACGACUGCUAAUACCGCAUAAGCGCACAGCUUCGCAUGAAGCAGUGUGAAAAACUCCGGUGGUACAAGAUGGACCCGCGUCUGAUUAGCUGGUUGGUGAGGUAACGGCCCACCAAGGCGACGAUCAGUAGCCGGCCUGAGAGGGUGAACGGCCACAUUGGGACUGAGACACGGCCCAAACUCCUACGGGAGGCAGCAGUGGGGAAUAUUGCACAAUGGGGGAAACCCUGAUGCAGCAACGCCGCGUGAGUGAAGAAGUAUUUCGGUAUGUAAAGCUCUAUCAGCAGGAAAGAAAAUGACGGUACCUGACUAAGAAGCCCCGGCUAACUACGUGCCAGCAGCCGCGGUAAUACGUAGGGGGCAAGCGUUAUCCGGAUUUACUGGGUGUAAAGGGAGCGUAGACGGUUUUGCAAGUCUGAAGUGAAAGCCCGGGGCUUAACCCCGGGACUGCUUUGGAAACUGUAGGACUA